ACUCCUUCCCUGCCUUUCCUACCUAUCACUCUCGUGCUGAAAGUUGGAGCUCCUUACCCAAAGACUGGGCGGAAAGGGUGACCGCCCUGGACCCCUGCCCGACUUCCCGUUAGGCCAAGCCGCUGUCCUGAAAGGGGAUCGUGUCCAGGCCGGCUUCCUGGAGACACACCUGCGCCUGCACACACCCACCGCGGUCGCGUCACCAGUGCCGCGGCCACGUGGACGAAGACCAAAGUCUGGAGGGAAUUCCCUCAGCCACAAAGCGAUGGGAAAGCGGGACCCGGUGGAGACCAGAGUCUUGCUAUGCUUUCCAGGCUGGUUUUGAACUCCUAGCCUCAAGCGAUUUUCCUGCCUCAGCUUCCCAAAGUGCUGGGAUUACAGGCACAAGCCACUGCACCCGGCCCUGUUGUUGUUAAGAAAAUUACAAGUUAAAUCUUGUACCAGUGAACAAGGUGGCCCCAGGGGAAGGCAGUCUCCCAGUAGAAAAAACCUGAAAGUUGUGAUCCGCAGCUUCCCGAUAAGAUCUCAGGAGUUGGGCGAGUGGGCUCAAGCAUGUGCAUUAGGAGGCAACAUGGCAGACUUUAACUGGUAUAUAUGACCUUCUAGGAACUUUUGACUGGUAAGAUUAGGGAUCGUGAUGUGGAGCUGCACUUCCUGGUUCCAAAUCCUGGCUCUUCCCCUCAUCCCUGGGUAAGUUGAGGGAUGAGAGCAAGAGAAGGUUGAUCCUGACUCAGAUCUCUGCAUGGGGCAUGUCACUGAUGACGGCGGCAUUCCCUGAGAGAGGGAACACUAAGUUUGAAGUUGGGCAUAGUGAGCACUAUUUUGGAUGAGUUAAGUUUAGAAGUGCCUGAAGACAUCCAAGUGGAAGAAGUGGCUGCAUGGACUGAAGAUACAGACUGGGAAACGUUAACACCAUCAAGGAACUGGAGUCCUGGGCACAGAAUAUGCUGCAAAGGGAGAAGAAGGAAGACGUGUGGUAUGGAAUCACCUAUGGAUAAGGUUGAGAACCAUGGGCUAGAUGCUAUGGAGACCAACGUAUCACUUACUAGGCUUUACUUUGUGCCAGGCACUGGAUUCGGCAUUACCCCAUUUAAGCCUCACUACCAUCCUUCAUGUUACUAUUCCACGUUGCCGCUCAGGAGAAACAAAAUUUUUUUAUUAAAUUCAAGUAACCUGAGGUCCCAUAUUUAGUAAGAGGCAGAGGAGUUAGAUGUGUCAAUAGCUAAAUUACAUGGCUGUGUCCUCUAGCUGGCCAGGGACUGACAACAUCAGUAUCACCUGGUGACUCUCCCAGGGGAGAUGUUUUUAAAAAUCUUUUCCAGUAAUUCUGUGCAACAUGGCAAUCUGAAACCAGUCUUUCAGACCUGGAAGUUCUUUAGAGACCACAGGACUCUCUUUGAUAUUUUUUCUUUUGAAUUUUUUUAAAAUACAGAAUCCUUUUUCAUGUUCUCUGUUUAUAAAACAACUGCAUGUCAAUUACAUUAUUUUUUAGAAGAUAGGUACAAGAGCCAGGCGUGGUGGCUCAUGGCUGUAAUCACAACACUUUGGGAGGUCGAGGCAGGUGGAUCAUUUGAGGCUGGAAGUUCGAGACCAGCCUGGCCAACAUGGCAAAACCUGUCUCUACUAAAAAUAUAAAAAAUUAGCCUGGAGUAGUGGUGCAUGUCCCAGCUACUCGGGAGGCUGAGGCAUGAAAAUCGCUUGAACCCGGGAGGUGCAGGUUGCAGUGAGCCAAGAUCGCACCACUGCACUCCAGCCUGGGCAACAGAGCAAGACUGUGUCUUGACAGCAACAAAAAAAGAAGAUAGGUAUAGGAAUUAAAAAGAAAGCAAAUAAUUACUGGUAGCCUGACCACUAAGAGAUAUAUACUGAUAUUUUUUUUGCGGGGGGUGCAUCUCCUUGCAGGCCUUUUUGUAUGUUUAUGUUCAAACACAUUUGUAACAACAAUGAAUAAAAAACGCAUAAUAUUCAAUGA
RNAcentral lists this long non-coding RNA (1972 nucleotides) under Homo sapiens (human). RNAcentral describes it as "PRKCH antisense RNA 1, transcript variant 5 (PRKCH-AS1)". Lineage: Eukaryota; Metazoa; Chordata; Mammalia; Primates; Hominidae. The record is from RNAcentral.